RNAcentral lists this ribosomal RNA (253 nucleotides) under Ruminococcus bromii. RNAcentral's name for it is "partial 16S ribosomal RNA". It matches the Rfam family "Bacterial small subunit ribosomal RNA", at positions 524 to 776 of the family's 1533-position model. The record is from RNAcentral. Lineage: Bacteria; Bacillati; Bacillota; Clostridia; Eubacteriales; Oscillospiraceae.
UACGUAGGGAGCAAGCGUUGUCCGGAUUUACUGGGUGUAAAGGGUGCGUAGGCGGCUUUGCAAGUCAGAUGUGAAAUCUAUGGGCUCAACCCAUAAACUGCAUUUGAAACUGUAGAGCUUGAGUGAAGUAGAGGCAGGUGGAAUUCCCCGUGUAGCGGUGAAAUGCGUAGAGAUGGGGAGGAACACCAGUGGCGAAGGCGGCCUGCUGGGCUUUAACUGACGCUGAGGCACGAAAGCGUGGGUAGCAAACAGG